CCUACGGGAGGCAGCAGUGAGGAAUAUUGGUCAAUGGCCGGAAGGCUGAACCAGCCAUGCCGCGUGAAGGUCAGUGCCCUAUGGGCGUUAAACUUCUUUUGUGCGGGAGCAAUAAUUGUCACGUGUGGCCAGACGAGAGUACCGUACGAAUAAGCAUCGGCUAACUCCGUGCCAGCAGCCGCGGGAAUACGGGGGAUGCAAGCGUUAUCCGGAUUUAUUGGGGUUAAAGGGUGCGUAGGCUGGGAGGUAAGUCAGCGUGGAAAUGCCCCGGGUCAACGGGGUGAAGUGCCAUUGAUACUGGCUAGCUGGAAUGCGGAUGCGGUGGGAGGAAUGUGAGGUGUAGCGGUGAAAUGCAUAGAUAUCACACGGAACACCGAUUGCGAAGGCAUCUCACGAAUCCGCGAUUGACGCUGAUGCACGAAAGCGUGGGUAUCAAACAGGAUUAGAUACCCUGGUAGUC
RNAcentral lists this ribosomal RNA (460 nucleotides) under uncultured bacterium. RNAcentral's name for it is "partial 16S ribosomal RNA". It matches the Rfam family "Bacterial small subunit ribosomal RNA", at positions 338 to 795 of the family's 1533-position model. The record is from RNAcentral.